RNAcentral lists this long non-coding RNA (2152 nucleotides) under Salvia miltiorrhiza (redroot sage). Its description in RNAcentral is "long non-coding RNA (SMIL_LNC011325)". Lineage: Eukaryota; Viridiplantae; Streptophyta; Magnoliopsida; Lamiales; Lamiaceae. The record is from RNAcentral.
UUCAAUGAGAAGAAUGAGAGAACUGAAAAGCCAAAGUUCAAUUAUGCCACUGUGUAUUAGCGUCUGACCGUAUGCGUUCACAAGUGAAGAAACCAACCUAACAAGGUUAGACUAAAUCCAUGUAAACCUAACAUGAAGGCGCAUGAGGAGCAUUGAAUGAUCAGAUUCAGUGGUGGAAGCAACUAAGGAAAGGGAAGUUUGCCUCAAUGACAUGGAUCAAAUAGAAGUGGACAACGCAUCCUAACAGUAGCAGAUGCAGUCUGCAAAAAGUAUACGGACAACAACGAAACUUCCCACUGAAGGAAGAAUAUGUCUGUUGUCUCAACUACCAGCAGCGAAGUUUGAAUUGUGAUUUCUCCAACGGAUAGUUAAUUCAAACUUCUAUUUAGUUAGAAGAGCUAACACGACAGAUAUAAAGAAAAAAAAGAGGAGAGUGUGUGUCGUCUCUGCGUACGCAACCACAUACCAAGAGAUGCCAAAGCUCAAAAGAAGACACAUCUGGACAAGAGUGUAGAGCUUAAAGAAAAAAUCUAUAUCGUCCAUGGUUAGCCGAUUGGAAAAAGGUCCAUGGUGAAGCUCGAAGCUCAACGAAAAAGAAGACAUCAGUUCAAAAAGCUCCAUUCUACUAAUGUCUCAACCUUAGGAGAACCUUUUAAUCCUUCUUUUGCUACAGAGCUUAAACGUCAUAUCCAAGCUUAGACGAAUGAAUCAACCUUCAGAAAUGUUCUUCGUUGUAAGGUGAACUCGGCCCUAGUUGAAAACCUGAAAUCAUUAAACAUAAACAUACAUCCAGUGCUAGGAGUUUGUCGGCUAGUUGAAAGCAAGUUGUAAUUAGAAUAGUUUGAUCAAAAUAGAUGUAGGGACUAUACAUUCUCUAUGUCAUUUACCGCUUUAUGCUAUACUCUAUCUGUUUUAGCUUUACGAAUAGCCUGAAUUUAGUUUUCUAUGCAUGAGCUCCUUAGAACUAUCUUUAUCUCAAAGUAUUCAGAGAGACACCAAACGACUACGAGUAUAAACAAUCUGAAACUAACUAAACAGUGUGAGUCUGUAAGUUUAUCACAAGCUAUCAGCUCAGCUAGUUCCUCACCACUUGAUUUUAGUUACUUUGAUAAGGUCUACGAGCUAGAUCAUCGACUCUGUCAGAACAGACAUUCAACCAAAGUGACUCUCAUGACUAAAGGUUGACGAAGGCGUCCUUGUUUCAAGACGCAAUGCAUUGUAUGGUCUGUUGUCCAGAAAUAUUUUACAUCUAUCAGACUUACUUCGGAAAUAACAAUCUUUUAUAGCAAUGAUAAACUACAUGCUGUUUAGUAAAUACAUUGGCAUGGAUGUAAAUAUCUCAUACAGGUUGAUUAUUCACCACAGAAAAUCUCACUGUUUAUUCCUAGUUUAAACAAAAUUUUGGAAUCGACUUGAUUCAGCCCCUUAUUUAGAAGUGUUGUCAAUUUUGGAUUCCAUUCCAGUGUAGAAACCUAUCUAUAAGUGAUUUCAACUUUUACUUCAAAUCUGCAAAUGAGGUUACCAUUUACUCCCUCCGUCCCACGAAUCUUGACACGUUUGGAGUUGUAGAUUAGUGUUUUAAGUGUGUAGUUAAUAAAAUAUAAAAGUGAUAAAGUAGGAGAGAGAAGGUAAUAAUUAUUACCCAAAAUGGAAACGUGUCAAGAUUCGUGGGACGGCCCAAAAAGGAAAACGUGUCAAAAUUCGUGGGACGGAGAGAGUACUAUAAAUACGUAAUAAUUACUUUAAAAUCGCAUUAGUAAUUAUAAUCUAUAAUUCCUAAAAUAUAAAUUCUCGGAUGCAACCCACUGAUAUUGCAAGUAUUAAUUUUUUCCGUUUUUCUAGUUGCAUGAAAUUCAUGUUACGGUUAUAGUGCCGUCAGAUCAUGCGACAGUAUCACAUGAAAUUCCCGUUUUCUUUAGAGCAUCCACUAUGCUGGGUUUUUUCUCAGGUAGUUGAUGUGCUGGCAUGGGUAGCACCAUAGGAAAAAGCAAUAAAAUGAGGUGCAAAAGUUUUAAGGAAGUAAUUUUACUACCCGGGUAGUAGUAGCAGCAAUGGUGGGUUCCACCAAGUAUUUUAAACUAAUUUCUAUUUUUUGUUGUGGUUCCCAACUACUUAAAUCAUUUUUUAUAUAUAUAAUGGUAAAUAUAAUAAU